RNAcentral lists this ribosomal RNA (351 nucleotides) under uncultured Desulfuromonas sp. RNAcentral's name for it is "bacterial SSU rRNA". It matches the Rfam family "Bacterial small subunit ribosomal RNA", at positions 1030 to 1382 of the family's 1533-position model. Lineage: Bacteria; Pseudomonadati; Thermodesulfobacteriota; Desulfuromonadia; Desulfuromonadales; Desulfuromonadaceae. The record is from RNAcentral.
GGUGACAGGUGCUGCAUGGCUGUCGUCAGCUCGUGUCGUGAGAUGUUGGGUUAAGUCCCGCAACGAGCGCAACCCUCGUCCUUAGUUGCCAGCAUUAAGUUGGGCACUCUAAGGAGACUGCCGGUGUUAAACCGGAGGAAGGCGGGGAUGACGUCAAGUCCUCAUGGCCCUUAUGUCCAGGGCUACACACGUGCUACAAUGGCCGGUACAAAGGGUAGCAAGACCGCGAGGUGGGGCCAACCCCAAAAAGCCGGUCUCAGUUCGGAUUGGAGUCUGCAACUCGACUCCAUGAAGUUGGAAUCGCUAGUAAUCGUGGAUCAGCAUGCCACGGUGAAUACGUUCCCGGGCCUU